UCGUGUGUGGCUGCUUGCGCAGCUGCUCCGUGCCAGGCUUGGAGGACCAGGAGAAGGGGUAGUCACUUGCCACAGCUGGAGGCUGGAGCGUGUGGCACCACGGCUCGCCUCGCUGUGGUGGGUGCUGGCGACAGAGACGGCAGCUCGGCUGGACUGAUUUGCUGAGAUUUGUUUUGUGGCCUAACAUCUGAUCUACCCUGAAGACACUUCCAUGUGCUGAUGGGGAGAAUGCAUACUCUUCAACUGUUGAGUGGGAUGUUCUGUGAAUAUCUGGUAAAAAAACUGAGGCUUAGAAACAUUGAAAAAAACUUGCUCAACGUUGCAAAACAAGAAAUUUGUGACACUGGAAUUGACAUCUACAAGGGACUGAUGUAACUAAUUGCUGGAUACAUGUCCCUCAAAGACACAGAAACAGAUCUUGUAUUCUAGUGGAUCUCCGGCACCCAGUGAGGGCCUGAAACAGAGUACAUGUCCAACAAAUAAUUAUUGAAGUAAAGAUUGACAUUUCAGGAGCAGAGAUUAAUAUUCAAAAACAAAGAUGAGAAUUUUGGCAGAAAAGUCAAAAUGAGGUUCCAACGUGGCUCAACAUGGCAGUUGCUGAUCCUGACUUUGCUUAAAAUUUGGUACUUUGUUUAUCACAAAUUUUAAAAUUAAUUUUGAUUUCUCAAAAUAUUGAUUAAAAUGUUUAUCUCUA
Molecule: long non-coding RNA, 694 nt
Filed under: Homo sapiens (human)
Lineage: Eukaryota; Metazoa; Chordata; Mammalia; Primates; Hominidae
Description: HSALNT0393196
Source: RNAcentral